CGUGAGUGGCGGACGGGUGAGUAACGCGUGGGUAACCUGCCUCAUACAGGGGGAUAACAGUUGGAAACGGCUGCUAAUACCGCAUAAGCGCACAGUACCGCAUGGUACGGUAGUGAAAAACUCCGGUGGUAUGAGAUGGACCCGCGUCUGAUUAGGUAGUUGGUGGGGUAACGGCCUACCAAGCCGACGAUCAGUAGCCGACCUGAGAGGGUGACCGGCCACAUUGGGACUGAGACACGGCCCAA
RNAcentral lists this ribosomal RNA (245 nucleotides) under uncultured bacterium. RNAcentral's name for it is "partial 16S ribosomal RNA". It matches the Rfam family "Bacterial small subunit ribosomal RNA", at positions 90 to 334 of the family's 1533-position model. The record is from RNAcentral.